GUAAAAUAACAUACUUUUAAAAAGUACUUUCCAAAAUAGUAAAAUUAAUAUCGGAAAGUACUUUGCAGAAGUAUGUUCUUUUAC
Molecule: microRNA precursor, 84 nt
Filed under: Cajanus cajan (pigeon pea)
Lineage: Eukaryota; Viridiplantae; Streptophyta; Magnoliopsida; Fabales; Fabaceae
Description: miRNA gene-KK1_050322
Source: RNAcentral